Molecule: long non-coding RNA, 336 nt
Filed under: Ananas comosus (pineapple)
Lineage: Eukaryota; Viridiplantae; Streptophyta; Magnoliopsida; Poales; Bromeliaceae
Description: long non-coding RNA (ACOM_LNC028507)
Source: RNAcentral
AUAAAAAAUCCACUUAUUUUGGACUUUUGCAAAACCGGGUCACCUUUUUCGUUUUUGCAGAUUUGGUCCGCUUUUUCAGCAAACUGACCAAAAUACCCUUAUUACUUUUUCUCUUUCCUCUUUCUCUCUUCUCUUCGUUUCUGUCAUUCUUUUUUUUUUUAUUCUCGCCAAAAAAAAAAAGGCGGACCGUUGCCUUCUUCUUCACCGUCGUCUCCCUCCUCACCAUCCUUCUUCACCGUCGCCCCCCUCCUCACCCUCCUCUCCACCGCCCGCGACCCCCUCCUCCUCUCCUCCGCCGCCGCGGACCCCCAGCCCGAUCCCGUCGCCGCGGCGGCA